RNAcentral lists this ribosomal RNA (475 nucleotides) under uncultured bacterium. Its description in RNAcentral is "SSU rRNA". It matches the Rfam family "Bacterial small subunit ribosomal RNA", at positions 26 to 518 of the family's 1533-position model. The record is from RNAcentral.
AGGACGAACGCUGGCGGCGUGCUUAACACAUGCAAGUCGAGCGGAAAGGCCCUUCGGGGUACUCGAGCGGCGAACGGGUGAGUAACACGUGAGCAACCUGCCCUUAGCUCCGGGAUAGCUCCGGGAAACCGGAAUUAAUACCGGAUACGACCACGGCCGACAUCUGCUGUGGUGGAAAGGAUUCCGGCUAAGGAUGGGCUCGCGGCCUAUCAGCUAGUUGGUGGAGUAACGGCCCACCAAGGCGACGACGGGUAGCCGGCCUGAGAGGGCGACCGGCCACACUGGGACUGAGACACGGCCCAGACUCCUACGGGAGGCAGCAGUGGGGAAUAUUGCGCAAUGGGCGAAAGCCUGACGCAGCGACGCCGCGUGGGGGAUGAAGGCCUUCGGGUUGUAAACCCCGUUUCAGCAGGGACGAAGCGAAAGUGACGGUACCUGCAGAAGAAGCGCCGGCUAACUACGUGCCAGCAGCCGC